RNAcentral lists this transfer RNA (74 nucleotides) under Verrucomicrobiota bacterium. RNAcentral's name for it is "Verrucomicrobia bacterium (hot springs metagenome) tRNA-Gly". It matches the Rfam family "tRNA". From Rfam's summary of the family: Transfer RNA (tRNA) molecules are approximately 80 nucleotides in length. Their secondary structure includes four short double-helical elements and three loops (D, anti-codon, and T loops). The record is from RNAcentral. Lineage: Bacteria; Pseudomonadati; Verrucomicrobiota.
GCGGGUGUAGCAUAGUGGUAAUGCACCGGCUUCCCAAGCCGGCAAGGAGGGUUCGAUUCCCUUCACCCGCUCCA